This 77-nucleotide transfer RNA is filed under the name Cronartium ribicola 11-2. Its description in RNAcentral is "tRNA-Und (NNN) (tRNA-Und-NNN-107-1)". It matches the Rfam family "tRNA". Rfam says of the family: Transfer RNA (tRNA) molecules are approximately 80 nucleotides in length. Lineage: Eukaryota; Fungi; Basidiomycota; Pucciniomycetes; Pucciniales; Coleosporiaceae. The record is from RNAcentral.
GCACAAUUAGCUCAGUGGUUAGAGCACCCUUCUGAAUUUUGGGGAAAAGAAGUCAUGGGUUUGAGUCCCAUAGUGCA